CGCGCCACACCGCGUGGGUGAAGAAGGAUUUUCGGAUAGUAAAGCUCUGUUGAAAGAGAAGAACGGGUGUGAGAGUGGAAAGUUCACACUGUGACGGUAUCUUACCUGAAAGGGACGGCUAACUACGUGCCAGCAGCCGCGGUAAUACGUAGGUCCCGAGCGUUGUCCGGAUUUAUUGGGCGUAAAGCGAGCGCAGGCGGUUAGAUAAGUCUUAAGUUAAAGGCUGUGGCUCAACCAUAGUUCGCUUUGGAAACUGUCAAACUUGAGUGCAGAAGGGGAGAGUGGAAUUCCAUGUGUAGCGGUGAAAUGAGUAGACAUAUGGAGGAACACCGGUGGCGAAAGCGCCUGUUUGGUCUGUAACUGACGGUGAGGCUUGAAAGCGUGGGUAGCAAACAGG
Molecule: ribosomal RNA, 397 nt
Filed under: uncultured Streptococcus sp.
Lineage: Bacteria; Bacillati; Bacillota; Bacilli; Lactobacillales; Streptococcaceae
Description: bacterial SSU rRNA
Rfam family: Bacterial small subunit ribosomal RNA
Source: RNAcentral